MicroRNA precursor from Equus asinus (donkey), 125 nucleotides. The record is from Ensembl. Lineage: Eukaryota; Metazoa; Chordata; Mammalia; Perissodactyla; Equidae.
GCAGAAACCGUUACUUACAGGAACACCAUCCUGCUUUGCUCCCACUUUGUCCUGUGGCCUGAUUACCAGGAGCAGUGGGUGCAGACAGGCUGGCACUCUUGGGAUCAGCUUUCUGCUGAAGCUAC